Molecule: ribosomal RNA, 524 nt
Filed under: uncultured bacterium
Lineage: Bacteria
Description: bacterial SSU rRNA
Rfam family: Bacterial small subunit ribosomal RNA
Source: RNAcentral
UGAGGAAUAUUGGACAAUGGGCGCAAGCCUGAUCCAGCCAUGCCGCGUGGGUGAUGAAGGCCUUAGGGUUGUAAAGCCCUUUCGGCGGGGAAGAUAAUGACGGUACCCGCAGAAGAAGCCCCGGCCAACUACGUGCCAGCAGCCGCGGUAAUACGUAGGGUGCAAGCGUUAAUCGGAAUUACUGGGCGUAAAGCGUGCGCAGGCGGUUUCGCAAGUCAGAUGUGAAAGCCCCGGGCUUAACCUGGGAACUGCGUUUGAAACUACGAAGCUAGAGUACGGCAGAGGGAGGUGGAAUUCCAAGUGUAGCAGUGAAAUGCGUAGAUAUUUGGAGGAACACCGAUGGCGAAGGCAGCCUCCUGGGCUAGUACUGACGCUCAUGCACGAAAGCGUGGGGAGCAAACAGGAUUAGAUACCCUGGUAGUCCACGCCCUAAACGAUGGGUACUAGACGUCGGGAAGCUUGUCUUCUUGGUGUCGCAGCUAACGCAAUAAGUACCCCGCCUGGGGAGUACGGUCGCAAGAUUA